This 252-nucleotide ribosomal RNA is filed under the name uncultured Bacteroidales bacterium. RNAcentral describes it as "partial 16S ribosomal RNA". It matches the Rfam family "Bacterial small subunit ribosomal RNA", at positions 524 to 776 of the family's 1533-position model. Lineage: Bacteria; Pseudomonadati; Bacteroidota; Bacteroidia; Bacteroidales. The record is from RNAcentral.
UACGGAGGAUGCGAGCGUUAUCCGGAUUUAUUGGGUUUAAAGGGUGCGCAGGCGGAGGUGCAAGUCAGUGGUCAAAUUGCGGGGCUCAACCCCGUACUGCCGUUGAAACUGCAUCCCUUGAGUGCGCGAGAAGUAUGCGGAAUGCGUGGUGUAGCGGUGAAAUGCAUAGAUAUCACGCAGAACUCCGAUUGCGAAGGCAGCUUACUAAGCCAUAACUGACACUGAAGCACGAAAGCGUGGGGAUCAAACAGG